GAUGAACGCUGGCGGCGUGCCUAAUACAUGCAAGUCGAGCGAACGGACGAGGAGCUUGCUUCUCUGAUGUUAGCGGCGGACGGGUGAGUAACACGUGGAUAACCUACCUAUAAGACUGGGAUAACUUCGGGAAACCGUAGCUAAUACCGGAUAAUAUUUUGAACCGCAUGGUUCAAAAGUGAAAGACGGUCUUGCUGUCACUUAUAGAUGGAUCCGCGCUGCAUUAGCUAGUUGGUAAGGUAACGGCUUACCAAGGCAACGAUGCAUAGCCGACCUGAGAGGGUGAUCGGCCACACUGGGACUGAGACACGGUCCAGACUCCUACGGGAGGCAGCAGUAGGGAAUCUUCCGCAAUGGGCGAAAGCCUGACGGAGCAGCGCCGCGUGAGUGAUGAAGGUCUUCGGAUCGUAAAACUCUGUUAUUAGGGAAGAACAUAUGUGUAAGUAACUGUGCACAUCUUGACGGUACCUAAUCAGAAAGCCACGGCUAACUACGUG
This 497-nucleotide ribosomal RNA is filed under the name uncultured bacterium. Its description in RNAcentral is "partial 16S ribosomal RNA". It matches the Rfam family "Bacterial small subunit ribosomal RNA", at positions 28 to 507 of the family's 1533-position model. The record is from RNAcentral.